This 501-nucleotide ribosomal RNA is filed under the name uncultured bacterium. Its description in RNAcentral is "partial 16S ribosomal RNA". It matches the Rfam family "Bacterial small subunit ribosomal RNA", at positions 30 to 523 of the family's 1533-position model. The record is from RNAcentral.
AUUGAACGCUGGCGGCAUGCCCUACACAUGCAAGUCGAACGGCAGCACGGGUGCUUGCACCUGGUGGCGAGUGGCGAACGGGUGAGUAAUAUAUCGGAACGUACCUUAUUGUGGGGGAUAACGCAGCGAAAGCUGUGCUAAUACCGCAUAAUCCCUAAGGGGGAAAGCGGGGGACCGUAAGGCCUCGCGCAAUUAGAGCGGCCGAUACCUGAUUAGCUAGUUGGUGAGGUAAAGGCUCACCAAGGCAACGAUCAGUAGCUGGUCUUAGAGGAGGAUCAGCCACACUGGGACUGGGAAGCGGCCCAGACUCCUACGGGAGGCAGCAGUGGGGAAUUUUGGACAAUGGGGGAAACCCUGUUCCAGCAAUGCCGCGUGAGUGAAGAAGGCCUUCGGGUUGUAAAGCUCUUUUGUCAGGGAAGAAACAGCAGCUCUAACACAGUAUGCGAAUGACGGUACCUGAAGAAUAAGCACCGGCUAACUACGUGCCAGCCGCCGCCGUAA